This 653-nucleotide ribosomal RNA is filed under the name uncultured bacterium. RNAcentral's name for it is "bacterial SSU rRNA". It matches the Rfam family "Bacterial small subunit ribosomal RNA", at positions 56 to 718 of the family's 1533-position model. The record is from RNAcentral.
UGCAGUCGAACGGUGAUAGCAAUAUCAUAGUGGCGCACGGGUGCGUAACACGUAUGCAACCUACCUAUUAUUGGGGGAUAGCCUUUGGAAACGGAGAUUAAUACCGCAUAAUACGAUUGACUGGCAUCGGUUGAUUGUUAAAGCUUCGGCGAUAAUAGAUGGGCAUGCGUCCAAUUAGUUAGUUGGUUAGGUAACGGCUGACCAAGACGAUGAUUGGUAGGGGAUCUGAGAGGAUAAUCCCCCACACUGGCACUGAGAUACGGGCCAGACUCCUACGGGAGGCAGCAGUAGGGAAUAUUGGGCAAUGGGCGGAAGCCUGACCCAGCCAUGCCGCGUGCAGGAAGAAGGCGUUAUGCGUUGUAAACUGCUUUUUUAUAGGAAGAAGGAUCCCUUGCGAGGGAAGGUGACGGUACUAUAAGAAUAAGCACCGGCUAACUCCGUGCCAGCAGCCGCGGUAAUACGGAGGGUGCAAGCGUUGUCCGGAUUUAUUGGGUUUAAAGGGUGCGUAGGCGGUUUAUUAAGUCGGUGGUGAAAGACGGUCGCUCAACGAUUGCAGUGCCAUUGAUACUGGUAGACUUGAGUGAGAUUGAGGUAGCUGGAAUGGAUAGUGUAGCGGUGAAAUGCAUAGAUAUUAUCCAGAACACCGAUUGCGA